This 712-nucleotide unclassified non-coding RNA is filed under the name Hevea brasiliensis (rubber tree). The record is from RNAcentral. Lineage: Eukaryota; Viridiplantae; Streptophyta; Magnoliopsida; Malpighiales; Euphorbiaceae.
UCUCUUUCUUAUCUCCAAACAACACAGUCCUUUCUCUUUCUCUUUCUGUUUCUAGGGUUUAUAGGAAUAUCCAAAGUUUUUUCAGCUCAAACUAUGAAAUCCUCCAUGAGAACUAGAACUUCCAGAUCUGCAACCCCAUCAUUUCACACAUUCUUGAAACCAGGUGCACUUGCCCAGCUUAGAUACUCCAAAAUCUCGGCUAAAUCAAGGUUGAAAAAUGCUCAAUCUUAUCAGCACAUACCCCUUUCGGUGGUACCUUCAUCCCUUCCUUUACCAACCAUGGAAAGCCUUCCCUGUUUCAAUUCAUCGAUCCGGAUUCGCCAGCCUCGGUUUAUCCAGAGAAAGAAGCUCAGCGCCGUUGCGCCCAUUUUUACUGAAUCCAAUUCUUGAUCCUUCAGUUGGGUGAGACGCCUCCAGUUUCAACCCCGGUCUGCUGUUGAUCUUAUUGGGGUUUCAGAUUAGUAAGUUAUAGUGAAAAAAUAUACAUAAAAAAAAGUGUAUCUUUGUUAGAUCGGGAGUUCUUUCUCCCCUUCAAAAAUUUUAAUUUGGUUAUUUUCUUGGGGCCUAGUAUUGAUGUCGGUAAGUGGGGCGAAGAUCGUUUGCAGUACAUUCUCUUUUCAUUUCAACAAACAAAAGAUGUAGAAAUAUACAGUUCAUAUGAAUAAAGAGAUCUACAUAGUUAUCUUUUCUGUCUUGAAUGAGUUUCACCUGG